UGGCGGACGGGUGAGUAACGCGUGAGGAACCUGCCUUUCAGAGGGGGACAACAGUUGGAAACGACUGCUAAUACCGCAUGAAGCAGCGAGGGGACAUCCCCUUGCUGUCAAAGAUUUAUCGCUGAAAGAUGGCCUCGCGUCUGAUUAGCUAGUUGGUGGGGUAACGGCCCACCAAGGCGACGAUCAGUAGCCGGACUGAGAGGUUGACCGGCCACAUUGGGACUGAGAUACGGCCCAGACUCCUACGGGAGGCAGCAGUGGGGAAUAUUGGGCAAUGGACGCAAGUCUGACCCAGCAACGCCGCGUGAAGGAAGAAGGCUUUCGGGUUGUAAACUUCUUUUAACAGGGAAGAGAAGAAGACGGUACCUGUUGAAUAAGCCACGGCUAACUACGUGCCAGCAGCCGCGGUAAU
Molecule: ribosomal RNA, 412 nt
Filed under: bacterium enrichment culture clone N3h18
Lineage: Bacteria
Description: bacterial SSU rRNA
Rfam family: Bacterial small subunit ribosomal RNA
Source: RNAcentral